This is an unclassified non-coding RNA of Otolemur garnettii (small-eared galago), 105 nucleotides long. It matches the Rfam family "Y RNA". Rfam says of the family: Y RNAs are components of the Ro ribonucleoprotein particle (Ro RNP), in association with Ro60 and La proteins. The Y RNAs and Ro60 and La proteins are well conserved, but the function of the Ro RNP is not known. In humans the RNA component can be one of four small RNAs -- hY1, hY3, hY4 and hY5. NCBI's taxonomy places the organism in Eukaryota, Metazoa, Chordata, Mammalia, Primates, Galagidae. The record is from Ensembl.
GGCUGCUCUGAAUGCAGUGGUACAUAUAAGUAAUCGAUCACAACUAGUUUACACACAUUUCUUUGUUCCUUCUCCCCUCCCACUGCUUCACUUGACUAGCCUUAA